AUGACUUUGAUCUGCGUCCUCAUCUGGACUCUCCUCUGCUGCUGCUUCACAGAGUCCAGAGGCCAGGUCACAGUGACUCAGCCUGGAUCAGUGAGGUCUGCUCUGGGAGGAACCGUCACCAUCAGAUGUAGAACCAGUCACAGAGUAGAUGAUGGAGAAGACUUAGCCUGGUACCAACAGAGAGAUGGAGGAGUACCUAAACUUCUAUUUUACUAUGUUGGAAACCGAGUAUCGGGGACGCCAAAUCGUUUUACAGAUGGUGGAAGAAACACUGACUUCACUCUGACCAUCAGUGGAGUCCAGACUGAAGAUGCAGCAGUUUAUUACUGUAUGGGUGAAUUCAAUGUCAACAGUCAGUGGGUGUACACACAGUGA
Non-coding RNA from Mugil cephalus (flathead mullet), 375 nucleotides. Lineage: Eukaryota; Metazoa; Chordata; Actinopteri; Mugiliformes; Mugilidae. The record is from the annotation of a RefSeq genome assembly.